AGCGGAGUAGGACAGUCUGGAGUGUCUGCCGGGCUCAUAACCCGGAGGUCAGAGGUUCAAAUCCUCUCUCCGCUA
This 75-nucleotide transfer RNA is filed under the name Candidatus Woesearchaeota archaeon. RNAcentral's name for it is "tRNA-Met". It matches the Rfam family "tRNA". From Rfam's summary of the family: Transfer RNA (tRNA) molecules are approximately 80 nucleotides in length. Their secondary structure includes four short double-helical elements and three loops (D, anti-codon, and T loops). The record is from RNAcentral. Lineage: Archaea; Nanobdellati; Candidatus Woesearchaeota.